AGCAGCCGCGGUAAUUCCAGCUCCAAUAGCGUAUAUUAAAGUUGUUGCAGUUAAAAAGCUCGUAGUUGAAUUUCGGGAUCAGUACGCUGGUCAUGCCUUUGGUAUGCACUGGUGUCACUGGUUUCUCCCUUCUGAAGAUCCGUGAUGUCAUUAAUUUGGUGUCGCGGGGAAUCAGGACUGUUACUUUGAAAAAUUAGAGUGUUUAAAGCAGGCUCACGCUUGAAUACAUUAGCAUGGAAUAAUGAAAUAGGACGUUUGACCCUAUUUUGUUGGUUUCUAGGAUCGACGUAACGAUUGAUAGGGAUAGUUGGGGCAUUAGUAUUCAAUUGUCAGAGGUGAAAUUCUUGGAUUUAUUGAAGACUAACUACUUGCGAAAGCAUUUGCCAAGGAUGUUUUCAUUAAUCAAGAACGAAAGUUAGGGGAUCGAAGACGAUCAGAUACCGUCGUAGUCUUAACCAAUAAACUAUGCCGACUAGGGAUCGGAUGAUGUUAAUUUUAUAA
Molecule: ribosomal RNA, 501 nt
Filed under: uncultured Glomus
Lineage: Eukaryota; Fungi; Glomeromycota; Glomeromycetes; Glomerales; Glomeraceae
Description: SSU rRNA
Rfam family: Eukaryotic small subunit ribosomal RNA
Source: RNAcentral